CCGGGAAUGAUCCUUCGGGUGAAUGAAUGGUUGGAAAGUGGCGAACGGGUGAGUAACGCGUGGGUAACCUGCCCUAUGGAAAGGAAUAGCCUCGGGAAACUGGGAGUAAUGCCUUAUAAUAUACAGAAGUCGCAUGGCUUUUGUAUUAAACGCUCCGGUGCCAUAGGAUGGACCCGCGUCCCAUUAGCUAGUUGGUGAGAUAACAGCCCACCAAGGCGACGAUGGGUAACCGGUCUGAGAGGGCGAACGGUCACACUGGAACUGAGACACGGUCCAGACUCCUACGGGAGGCAGCAGUGGGGAAUUUUGGACAAUGGGGGCAACCCUGAUCCAGCCAUGCCGCGUGAGUGAAGAAGGCCUUCGGGUUGUAAAGCUCUUUCGGCCGGGAAGAAAUCGCACGGGCUAAUACCUUGUGUGGAUGACGGUACCGGAAUAAGAAGCACCGGCUAACUACGUGCCAGCAGCCGCGGUAAUACGUAGGGUGCGAGCGUUAAUCGGAAUUACUGGGCGUAAAGCGUGCGCAGGCGGUUUUUUAAGACAGGCGUGAAAUCCCCGGGCUUAACCU
This 565-nucleotide ribosomal RNA is filed under the name uncultured Dechloromonas sp. RNAcentral's name for it is "bacterial SSU rRNA". It matches the Rfam family "Bacterial small subunit ribosomal RNA", at positions 62 to 615 of the family's 1533-position model. The record is from RNAcentral. Lineage: Bacteria; Pseudomonadati; Pseudomonadota; Betaproteobacteria; Rhodocyclales; Azonexaceae.